CAAGUGUUCUCUCCCCGUCUCACUAAACAGCAACCAAAAUAGCCCUGUCAGUUCGAAUAGUCAGAGUUUGGUGGUGAAACGAAGUGAGUGCUUCAGUUAACUGAAUUAGAAACCUCUGGUUAGCAUUUUUAAAUAAUAUUUAAAUAAAUCAGGGUUAACAUAUGAAGUGCGCCGUGGGUACUUAACUUGGAUAAACUGGAAUCUGCCAAACCAUCUCGAUUAAUCUGUAUUUAUAUACAGUUAAUCAGGUAAAUACAGUUUGGAAAAGGUUUGUCUUCAGCCAGCUUCUUAAAAAUAUUGGAGUUUACUUCUUACCGACACAGCAACUGCUCCUGCCGCAAGAGCCAGCCUUUGGAUACCCCCUCGGUUUCCUCAGUCACCGCGGAACAGACACAUUACCACGUACUGUAUGUCAUCAGCUGUUUGCCCCUAUUGCAUUUCAAGCCUGAAGUAAAAUCAGAAGAUGACCUAAGAUAUUUCCAUAAUUAUUUUCUUUUAUCACCCCUGAUUCCUCUUCUUCAGUGUUAGACCUGUCACGACCCAUGUGGGUGACAUACAUCGUCCGUCCAUGAGCGGAACGCUAAAUAUCCUGUUACAAUUCCUGGAGGAUGUAUACUCCUUAGUGUGGAUUUCAGAGGCCCUUUACAAGAAAUAUCUAGAAGUCUGAUACCAUGAAGAGGUUCCUGAAUUUACAGAUUGCAACAGACACUUGGUUUAAGGAGUGAGCAAAGCAGAUGUCUGUCUGUCUGUCUGAGAAGUACAUCAUGAGCCCGUUCUGUGGGAUGGCUUCCAUUCCUCCCAGCUGGACCGAGGCACGAUUCAUUCCACGUUGCAUCUUUCAUCCUGUCCUUCUUGGUGGUGAAGCUGGGAUUGCCCCGUUAGGCACGCGAGCCAAAAAAAGACACAAUUUAUUUGUAGUCGGUGAAAGACUCAAGCAAGUUUUAAGAGGAUGAAGACAGGAUCAGAGUGAAAUGUCAGAGGAAGCCCUGCGCACGGAGCUGAGCUAAUGCCAGGCACCAGAGACUGUUUUAAUUUCUGUACUGAAGAGGGCAACCCUGGCAUCUGAAGCUGUGUGUGCUGCAACCAGAGGCUGAAAAGGAACAAAACCGAUGAGACAACUGGCAAGUUACCCCGUGACCCCGAGGAGUGUGUGAACGAAGAGAGCAGUGUUUCCAACCAUCCAAACCACCAGGGUGUUUUCAUCGCCGCAGACGGGGCUGUGCCUGUGAUCCACAAAGUCAAGGAAGGGAGACAGCCUGCCACAGGACACAAAAGCUCUUUGCAGGUAGGAGAUGAAGAAAUGGAUAAAUUGAUAGUGAGAAAUAGGCAAGAAGGUUACAGAAUGUGAUACCGUGUCUUGUGCAGCUACUGAUGUGUGUCGAACGAAAUCAGGGCU
This 1396-nucleotide long non-coding RNA is filed under the name Calidris pugnax (ruff). RNAcentral's name for it is "lncRNA (ENSCPUG00000008464.1)". The record is from RNAcentral. Lineage: Eukaryota; Metazoa; Chordata; Aves; Charadriiformes; Scolopacidae.